This 489-nucleotide ribosomal RNA is filed under the name uncultured bacterium. Its description in RNAcentral is "partial 16S ribosomal RNA". It matches the Rfam family "Bacterial small subunit ribosomal RNA", at positions 30 to 506 of the family's 1533-position model. The record is from RNAcentral.
AUUGAACGCUGGCGGCAGGCCUAACACAUGCAAGUCGAACGGUAACAGGAAGAAGCUUGCUUCUUUGCUGACGAGUGGCGGACGGGUGAGUAAUGUCUGGGAAACUGCCUGAUGGAGGGGGAUAACUACUGGAAACGGUAGCUAAUACCGCAUAACGUCGCAAGACCAAAGAGGGGGACCUUCGGGCCUCUUGCCAUCGGAUGUGCCCAGAUGGGAUUAGCUAGUAGGUGGGGUAACGGCUCACCUAGGCGACGAUCCCUAGCUGGUCUGAGAGGAUGACCAGCCACACUGGAACUGAGACACGGUCCAGACUCCUACGGGAGGCAGCAGUGGGGAAUAUUGCACAAUGGGCGCAAGCCUGAUGCAGCCAUGCCGCGUGUAUGAAGAAGGCCUUCGGGUUGUAAAGUACUUUCAGCGGGGAGGAAGGGAGUAAAGUUAAUACCUUUACUCAUUGACGUUACCCGCAGAAGAAGCACCGGCGAACUCCGU